RNAcentral lists this ribosomal RNA (488 nucleotides) under uncultured bacterium. RNAcentral's name for it is "bacterial SSU rRNA". It matches the Rfam family "Bacterial small subunit ribosomal RNA", at positions 28 to 507 of the family's 1533-position model. The record is from RNAcentral.
GAUGAACGCUAGCUACAGGCUUAACACAUGCAAGUCGCGGGGCAGCAUUCCUUAGCUUGCUAAGGAAGAUGGCGACCGGCGCACGGGUGAGUAACGCGUAUCCAACCUUCCCAUGUCCACGGGAUAGCCCGUCGAAAGGCGGAUUAAUACCGUAUGAGGCCACAUGCGGGCAUCUAAGUGUGACGAAAGGUUUUGCGGACAUGGAUGGGGAUGCGUCUGAUUAGCUUGUUGCGGGGUAACGGCCCACCAAGGCGACGAUCAGUAGGGGUUCUGAGAGGAAGGUCCCCCACAUUGGAACUGAGACACGGUCCAAACUCCUACGGGAGGCAGCAGUGAGGAAUAUUGGUCAAUGGGCGCAGGCCUGAACCAGCCAAGUCGCGUGAGGGAAGACGGUCCUACGGAUUGUAAACCUCUUUUGUCGGGGAGUAACGUGCGGGACGCGUCCCGUAUUGAGAGUACCCGAAGAAAAAGCAUCGGCUAACUCCGUG